This 502-nucleotide ribosomal RNA is filed under the name uncultured bacterium. RNAcentral's name for it is "partial 16S ribosomal RNA". It matches the Rfam family "Bacterial small subunit ribosomal RNA", at positions 29 to 523 of the family's 1533-position model. The record is from RNAcentral.
AUUGAACGCUGGCGGAAUGCUUUACACAUGCAAGUCGAACGGCAGCACGGGUGCUUGCACCUGGUGGCGAGUGGCGAACGGGUGAGUAAUACAUCGGAACGUACCCAGUCGUGGGGGAUAACGUAGCGAAAGUUACGCUAAUACCGCAUACGUCCUGAGGGAGAAAGCGGGGGACCGUAAGGCCUCGCGCGAUUGGAGCGGCCGAUGGCGGAUUAGCUGGUUGGUGGGGUAAAGGCCUACCAAGGCGACGAUCCGUAGCGGGUCUGAGAGGACGGCCCGCCACACUGGAACUGGGACGCGGUCCAGACUCCUACGGGAGGCAGCAGUGGGGAAUUUUGGACAAUGGGCGAAAGCCUGAUCCAGCCAUUCCGCGUGAGUGAAGAAGGCCUUCGGGUUGUAAAGCUCUUUCGGCAGGGAAGAAACGGCUUGGGAUAAUACCCCGGGCUAAUGACGGUACCUGAAGAAGAAGCACCGGCUAACUACGUGCCAGCCGCCGCCGUAA